Molecule: ribosomal RNA, 500 nt
Filed under: uncultured bacterium
Lineage: Bacteria
Description: partial 16S ribosomal RNA
Rfam family: Bacterial small subunit ribosomal RNA
Source: RNAcentral
AUUGAACGCUGGCGGCAUGCUUUACACAUGCAAGUCGAACGGUAACAGGGUGCUUGCACCGCUGACGAGUGGCGAACGGGUGAGUAAUACAUCGGAAUGUACCCAGUAAUGGGGGAUAACGCUUCGAAAGGAGUGCUAAUACCGCAUAAUGUCGCAAGACCAAAGCGGGGGACUUUCGGGCCUCGCACCAUCAGAUGAACCCAGAUGGGAUUAGCUAGUAGGUAGGGUAAUGGCUUACCUAGGCGACGAUUCCUAGCUGGUCUGAGAGGAUGACCAGCCACACUGGAACUGAGACACGGUCCAGACUCCUACGGGAGGCAGCAGUGGGGAAUAUUGCACAAUGGGCGCAAGCCUGAUGCAGCCAUGCCGCGUGUAUGAAGAAGGCCUUCGGGUUGUAAAGUACUUUCAGUCAGGAGGAAGGGUGUGAAAUUAAUACUUUCAUGCAUUGACGUUACUGACAGAAGAAGCACCGGCUAACUCCGUGCCAGCCGCCGCGGUAA